GGGAAGCAGAGGACAGUUUGGAAAAGUGCUGCGGUGGGCUAAGAAGUCCUAGACCCUAGAGCACUGCAUCUUUUAGAAAUGAGAAUUGACCGGAAGCCAGCUGUGCGUGAGAGCUAACUGUCUCUGAUCUCUUGAAGGGAAACUCACCUCUGUGCAGAGGGCCAGCCCAAGGUCUAAGCACCACAUAAGCCCACAGACCCCUAGACCCUCCAGUCAGCAAUGAGAAAAAACAGAAUCUUGUGCCUCAAGCCAACAUCUACUCUCUGCAAAGACUGAAAUGACCAUACAGUAUCAUUCCAGGUGCGUCCAGCAGCACAAGAAAUAAAAUCACAACUCUGGGAACCAAUAUGAGUGCACCAUUAUGAGGGCCUGAUAGAGAAGCCAGGUGUGAGAGCAACCCUUGUUGCAGAAAUGGAUCUAUUCAUCUCCCGCCAUUACAAGAUUGGUUUGCUUCCUGGAAAGAGGAUAUAUGACCAGCAGGUCUAACUAUCUCAAAAUCUGGCAUUUUAUACAGAUGCUCAUCCACAUGAUGUUUUCUACAAUUAUCCUUUGGGAAGAAUCCAUUGUUAUUCAUCCAAGAAGGCCUCAAUGAGGAGAGCUGGGAAGAACAUGUUUAGACAUACCCCAAGCCAGUAAACGCUGAAUCUAUUAGAUCCAGACAAGAGACAACCACACAGGAGUGGACCUUUGGAAUGGAAAAAGAGUAACCGAGGACCAAAUCCAUUCCUGGAAGCACAGACACAGUGGGAGAACAGAGACCAGCUUGCUUGUGGGCAGUCUGGCAUGUACUGGGGCAGAAAGAGAAAGUGAAUAAAAAGUAAAAGGUGCAGAAAUAAGAUUACCAAUAUCAAAUUUUACCCUUUGCACCAAAGACAUUUAGUCUGUAAUAUUGGGGCUUUGAAUCCAAUAAUCUAUAACUAAGGUCCAGAAUACUUGCCAGCUUCUGUUUUAAUUAUAUAGAGCUUUGUUGUGGCUGAAGAAAUAAAUAAAUUCUGAGUUGGAGAUAUCUAGGAAUAAUGUUGGAUCUCCUAGAUGAGACUCAAAUAGAUGCUGUUUAUUUCUUGGCAUUACCAGUAUUUUCUCUCUUUCUUCAAGAGUUUCUUGUUUAUAAUUUGAAUAGGAUUGUUGACAGAAACAAGUACUGACUUGUGCUUGGCAUCACACCUAAAGGAGGAAGAGCACACUGGAUGCAUCCAUUAACACAGCAGUGCCAACAUCAGAAAAAGGGGAUAGUAAAGGGCUGUGAUCUCUGACCU
Molecule: long non-coding RNA, 1256 nt
Organism: Mauremys reevesii (Reeves's turtle)
Lineage: Eukaryota; Metazoa; Chordata; Testudines; Geoemydidae
Exons: 5
Source: RefSeq, a predicted model, not a curated record